This 207-nucleotide unclassified non-coding RNA is filed under the name uncultured Sebacinales. RNAcentral's name for it is "sequence contains ITS2". Lineage: Eukaryota; Fungi; Basidiomycota; Agaricomycetes; Sebacinales. The record is from RNAcentral.
UAAUCUCACCUUUUCAACUUUGAUGUUGAUGAGUGUGGAUUUGGAUGCUGCUGUUAAAUCAACAGCUCAUCUGAAAUGCCUGAGUGUGCCCUGUUUCUGUGGUGUAUUCGGUGUAAUAAGUCUUCACCGGAGAUUGAUCCCUUUGGGAUCACAUUGCUUUUACUGAGUGCAUGCUUCCAACUGUCUUCACAAGACAACACUCUGACA